RNAcentral lists this long non-coding RNA (9342 nucleotides) under Panax ginseng (ginseng). RNAcentral's name for it is "long non-coding RNA (PGIN_LNC012751)". The record is from RNAcentral. Lineage: Eukaryota; Viridiplantae; Streptophyta; Magnoliopsida; Apiales; Araliaceae.
CGAGUAUUCGUUAACUCUCAAUUCAAAUUUAAAAUAUUCUUUUGUGUAGAGUAUCUCAACUCAACAUUUACAAUAUAUAACAUUAACGUUCAUCUAGCUUAGUUGGAAACUUCGCAAUCAAGUGUUUUGGCAUAAAACCUUACUAUGUAUAAUUACUCUAAAGAAAUUACACCAAUGUGUUAGUGUAUUAUUAAAACACCAACUAUCUUCAAUCACUAUUUCUUCUCGUGAUCCUUCGUCUAUUCUGAAGUCUUUGACGCUAUGUUCAUCUGUUUAUAUCGACUUUUAUCUGCAAAAUUUGUUUGCAAGGUUGAGCACGACGGCUAUGCAAAACCAACAGUCUACACAUUUCAUGCUUCACAUAACAUACAAAUUUCAUAUCUUCAUGCAUCAAAAAUUUUAGUCAAUGCAUCUACAUAUGCUUCAUGCAUCUAUAUGUGCAUCAUACAUUUCAUGAUAUGCAUCUUUAUAUGCAUCAUACUAAUCAUACAAUACAAUAUUAUCUUCAUAUUGUAUAUUUAACCCAUACUUCACAAAUUUCAUGUUUUGUAUUUAGUCACACAACAUUCAUGUAAUCAACGAUUUCACAUAAAACAAACUAUAUCAUUAACUACCAUAAACAUGGUUUAAAACAUAUUAUCACAUAAGAGCAAGUUACUGUAGAACUUGCCUCAAAGCGUUCCUUGCGCUGUUAGAAGAAUUCUUCAUUCCAUUGUCCUACACGAUUAAGGGUUAUUUAUGUUAAUUCCACUUUACUUUUCACCAUUCUUCUUUUUAAAUCUUGAUACAAAAUGCUUUAAUCAUGUGUUUAAGACUUACUAGAACACUUUAUUGUCCAUUUGAUUUAUUUACAUAAAAUUUUCUUCGAAUGAUAACCUACAUCCUCCAUGAGAAUUUAAUUGCAUGAUUAAGUUAAUCAUCACCUCAUAAUUAAAUCUGAUAAUAAUUCUUGAACUCUCGUCUAAUAUUAUUAAUCACUCUACAAAUAUUAUUAAUCAUUUAAUAAUAUUUCAAUCAGUUACUAAUAUUAUUAAUUAUUUAAUAAUAUUUUAUUCACUUUCUAAUAUUAUUAAUCACUUAAUAAUAUCUUAAUAACUUACAAAUAUUAUUAAUCAUUUAAUAAUAUUUUAUUCACUUUCUAAUACUAUUAAACAUUUAAUAAUAUUUUAUUUACUUACUAAUAUUAUUAAUCCUUUAAUAAUAUUUUAAUCACUUACUAAUAUUAUUAAUUAUUGAAUUAAAAAUAUUUUAUUCAUUUAAUAAUAUUAUUAAUCAUUUAAUAAUAUUAUUAAUCAUUUAUAAACAAUUUAAUUUAAUUAUUUAUCUCUUACUAUUUAAUUUAUUUAACACACACAUCGUGCCAUUCUUAUAUCAUUUUAUUAAAAAUGACCAUAUUACACCUCAUAAAGUUUUAAUACAUCAUAUUAAUGAUUAUUAGUCAAUAAAAUCACCUUAUAGAAUUUUAUGACUUAAUAUAACUUAAUUUUCUUAUUUAUUCUUAACGCAAUCAUAGGUAUUAAAAAUGCCUAAUCAAAUUAUUAUUUUCCUAUCUCCUGAAAAACUUCAAUAUAUAAUAUUUUAGUCACAAAAUAUUUUUUCUGAAAUUUUCCAACUUUAUUUCCUAUUUUUAAAUAGGUCAUUUCUGUCCAUAACUACCACAUUUAUUAAAAAUUAUCUUUUUGACUUGUACCAACGUACACAUUCCCUCAUAUCAUUUUUAUAACAUUCAUAUAAAAUUAUGUGAUUAACCUUUUCAUAGUCUCAUAUGUCACAUGUCGACAUGAUCAUCUAGUCGAUAGAAAUUAUCUCGACGAUUCCCGACUCGUUGGUAAUUAUUAGUUUUUAAUCCAUUGGAAGCCUAUUUCCCCCAUUAAGCCUCAUUAAUCAUUUUAUUAUUUUAUUAUUUUCUGUCCAUACAUAUAUACAUAUAUAUUCCAUACAUAAAAAUAGUUUUUCUGGAAUUUUUCCUUUUUAUUAAAUAUUUUUCAAAAGCCAAUUUUAGUUCGUAACUUAGCAAAAUUAGCUAUAUCAUGAUCAACUCCGAAUAUUCCCAAAUGUUUACAUAAUCUUACAUAUAUUAACGCGAACUUCCAGUUUAAAUUUCGUGGUCAUCAGAAUUAUAGAACUCUAGUUAUAGCCGUUUCCGUAGGAAAAAUCCUAAAAUUGAAAUGGUCAUACCUCACUUGAUUUAAGUUGGAAUAAGCUCAACUUUGGACAUGAGCUUCUUUAUAUCAUAUAUUUUCAUUUCCCAAAAGGCCUGAAUUUAUUUCAAAAUUUAAAUUGCCGAAAAUGCCCCUGGAAGUAUUUAGACAGAUUGCAUUUUGGUAUUUCCAGAUUUUGCCUACUUUACUAAAAACUGUCCAUACGGAAAUCUACAAGGAAUUUUUCAGUGAUUCCACUUGGAGAUAUUAGAUAUCACAUGGAUCUAACACAUUUUUUUUUGACGGAUCUCAAAAAUAAGUUGUAGAUUUCAAAUGGUGAAGGUCCAAAGUGGACUAAAAUUUAGGGCUUUCGAGUAUAAAAACUAUUUCGGUUCUUCUUCUUUGUUCAAGCUCAUCAACCCUAAAAAUGGCAAGAUAUAAGCAUUAAACAUCAAAUAUUAUGUAGAUAUACCCUCAUAUGGUUCAAGAUCAUAAGUUCAAAAUUGGAUCUAAAACAACCAUAACAAAACACAUUAAACUAACUAGAGUUUUGAGUUUAGGAGAUUUUAUACCUUUAGUGUUCAAUCUUCCUCUUGAUUUCUUCUUCCUCUCUUCUCUUCUUCCUCUCUCAAGCUCUCAAGCUCUCAAGCUUUCAAUAAGGUUUUUGGGUGAGAGUUAUGGAGAAAUCUAUGGUUUUUUCUUUCCCUUCUUCCUUUUUCCUUUUUCCUCUCUUUUCUUUUCCUUCUCUCUCUUUCUUCCAUCCAUGGCAGUCCUCUCUCUCUCUUCUUUUCCCUAUUUGGUCAGGUGUGUGAGAGAAAAAUGAGAGAAUAAUGCUUCUUAUUUGCCUUUACCUUUUGUUAAAUGAAUUAGAGGUUUAAUAUAAAAUAAAGGGAAACUAGAUCCACUUUUUAGGUGAAGUUAUUGCGGAAGUUGGUGAGGUUAGGUUGGCUGCCCAUGUGCUGGAAUUUGCAAUAGAUUUUGAUCAAGUGGAUCCCGCUUUUAUUGUCUCAUUUUGCGUGCUUAAUCUUGUCUUUGACUUUCGGACAAAAAAGUCAAAUUUUCAAGUUUAUAGUCGAUUCCUUCUAAAAUCGACGUUCCCGACGUCAUGGACACAUCCGUUUCUCCAAAUUCAUCUCUGAAUUUUAAGUUUGACUUUUCUCCAAAAAAGUCAAUUGUUGACUUUGACUAAAAAGUCAACCCCGACACAUUUUGUCUUUACAGCCUAUUCUUUAUAAUUUUGACAUUUCGGAUUCAAAUAUCCAAUUCGUGUUUCCAAAUUCCACUCCUAACUCCGAUUUUGACUUUUUCUCCAUAAAAGUCAAUUGUUGAGUUUGACCAAAAAGGCAACCCUGACACAUUUCGUGUUUACAAUCUUUUCUGACUAAACUUGACGUUCCAGACGCAACCGAGCAAUUUGUGCUUCAAAAUUCUGCCUCUAACUCCAAUUUCCUCCGAAGUUUGGGCUAUCCAAUAAAUCGUUUUGGGACAUGUCUCAUAAAUUUUACAUUUCCCUAAUAUUCUAUUAGGGUUUCUAGUCCACUUACUUUGGACUUUAAAUAAUUACUCAUUCAAUCAUGCACAUUCUCUACAUUAGUCACAAGUAUUCACUUCACUGAUAAAUAAUUAAUAUUCUCCUAUAUUAGGCUUGACAUUUAAUUCAACGUCUAUUAAAACAUCUUUAUUUAGUUUGCUACAUUCAAUAAGCCAUUUCAAAUGACUUGAUAUAAUGAAUUUUAUUAAUCCAACUUUUCAAUAUCUUUUGGUCAUAUUAUUAACUUUAGAUUAUCAUAUUGAUAACUUCUGUCAUCCUUACAAGUCCUCUUAAUAAUUAAAUAUUUAGGCUUGUUUACUAUGAUCAUAUGGUUUGUCAUAUAUAUUAUUUUGACUUGCCAUAUUCUUAAUCCCUUAGUAAUAUCUUACUCUUCAACCUUUCUAUUGUUCACAUUUAAUUUCUUUACCUUCUUUCUGAUAUUAAACCAUAUAUGUUUUUUUUAAAAUCUGUAAUCAUUCCUCUAUUUUCAAAUCUAGGUUUUAUUCUUUAAACCUUUAUUUAAUUAUUUGAAAUCUUAUUUACAAGUCUCAUAAUUUUUUUGGGUUAUCACACGAUAACCAUUAUUCAACAUAAUAAAAUAUCAAACUUAUAUAAAUUUUAUUAUAUCAGAGUCUUUUUACCCAGGUACGAUGACCUUUAAAUUCUUAUUACAUAAUAGUUAAAUAUUUACAACAUAUAAACUAUCUAUUACAUAACAUCCCAGCAAAUCUACAACUUUUUCUUUCCCUUUAUCUUUACCAGAUGCCUCUACUCGAUACUGAGUAAUUGAAAACAUUUAUAACAAAGUAAGAAUGAGCAUUCAAUUGCUUAGCAAGUAAUAACAUUUUUAAAUAUCUCAUCAAUAAAUAAAUGUUCUCUUUGAAACAUGUUUUGACAGUGAAAUGAAACUGUAAAGUAAAUAAAUCUUGAGUCAUUCAUACUUCUAAAAUAACAUGUCAACAUUUGAUUAGCUGAGAGGUCAUAUAACCAUGAUCAUUCUUUUUCUUUUCUUGAAAAUGUUCUAUCAGAAAUUCAUCUAUGAAUUGUCUUGUCUUACGGGCACGAUAGGUGAUCAACUCUUUAUGCCCUGUAUUGAUCAAUACUAUUUUAUCCAGAACACUUUUUAUGUUCAACGUCACCGCUCCCAGAAUGCAAUAUAAAAUAUCCCAAUUCAGGGAUUGUUCAUUCUCAGACUGGAAUCCAAAUUAUAUCAAUACAGCUGGAAAACUCAAAUCAUAUCACAAUAAUAUUUCAAGACUUAAUAUAAAAGAAUUGAAAUACUUUAAUCUAUGUCUAGCCAGAAAAAAUGACUUAGACUAUAUCUUUAAACUGUUCAUGCAUAUUGAAUUUCAUCUGAUAUACAUAAUAUCAUCUUAACCAUUCUCUUGAAGCUGAUUGGAAUAAAAAGAUUUACUAUACCUUGUAUUAUUCAUAAGUAAUUACGAAACAGUUCAGAAUUUAGAGAAAUUGCCUACAUAUGAAUUAAUAAAUCUAACAUACUUGCUCAAUAAAGAGUAAGAUUUUAGAUAUUUUCCUUGAUUGCGAGCUAUUGAUAAAAAUUCAGCUUAACUUGUUCUCACAGAUCCUACACAAUUAUAUUUGUAUUUACAAACACAUUAGCCAAGUAUCUAAGUCAUAUAACUUGUAUGCUUACAUAACACAUAACCACAUAGAUCAUAUCUUUGGUUUGUGAUGUUACUUAUGAGAUACUUGUAUACAUUUUUCAAAAACCUCAUCCAUGUUCUUAAAAUAAUCAUUUUUUCUCUUUAAUAGAGUUUUGAUAUGCUUGUAUUAUGCAAAUACCUUAUAGUUAUAAUUUAUACCACAUUAGGAACUUAAUACAUGAGCAUUUCAUGCUUCCUUUACAUAACUUCUAGCAUACAAGGUGUUUUCAUAGCUUAUUAUAUGCUUUGAAGGUAUUUUCAACUUUUAUGGUUAGCUUUUAGUCUUCCCAUGAUUUAUAGUUUCAUUUUAAUACAUCAAUGUAUUAAAUAUCUUUUUUUUCUUCAUUAUGUCAAAACAACCUUCUAAAGCUUUAACAGUUUUAACAACCCACUAAUAUGGCAUUGCUUGGAUUUAUUGCUUUGAUUUUAGAAACUUACUUAUGCUAACCAUUCCAUUGCAAAUCCGUUUAUGUUGAGUUAUGAAUCUAAUACAAAUCCUAUAAAUUUAUUUAUUUGAGAAGUUUUAAGUCCACUAUAUGGUUAAGUCUUCAAACUAGAUUCUAGAGCUAAAAUGAUAUACCCAAACUAUUAUAGCAGUCCCUUACUGCCCAUUGCUACUGCAUAUAGGCAGGAACUGCUUUUCAUGUGCCUCACUUUGAGUAGCUUUGAUUCCCCACACCUGUGUUUCCUUUGUCUUAUGUUUUGGAUAUCAUUCAGAUGGUGCAUUCAUCUAGUACUAAAACACAUUAGAUGAGCAAUUCUAGAAGUUUAGAAGUACUAAUUAAGAGCUCAAAAGAAACUUCUAUACAUAGCCACUACUGUAGCAGCCUCUUGGCUGUUAAUUUUGCCAGCUGUUGCUGCCUAAAAGCAGCAGCCCUUACCUCUCAAUCCUAGAUUUGGUAAUUUUUCUUUUGUUUUCCCCUAUUUGACUAAAUAUAAGGGUAAAGUUCAGAUCAGCACAUGAGAUUUGGGCGCUUUCCCACUUAACCACCUGUAGUUAGUAAAGCUACAUUUAAACUCCCGACUUUUUGAGUGAAGUGAAUAAAUUCUUUUCGUCUUAACUCCGUUACUUGAGUUGGCUAAAGACUUAAUUACCCUCCAUAUAUAUAUAUUGAAAACGACGGAUGAUCCUACCAAAGAAACAAAUCGUGUAUAUAUAGAAAAGACAGGGCUACUCAAUUUAACAUGUAUGUAAUCUGCUUCUGCUGCUGAUGAUGAUUCUUAGAGGAAUUUGACUUUGCCCAACAACAUAAUUGCAACUGAAUUAGUAAAAAAAAAUUCUUUUUUUUAUGGUUUAACUGGAAUGAGAGAUUUCACAAACACAGCUGCUAACUUCUCACUAUGCCAAGCCACUGCUUACUGCAAUCCGAACUAUACCACUCCAAGAAUUCUCCUUUAGUUCACCAUUACCCAUUGCUACAUUCUCAAUUUCAUCCUCAACCUCUUAUCCACUGGCUUCCGGUCCUUCAAAAACUGAUUAAACGAAUCUGAAUCGCUCACUUUCUUCUCUCCCAAUGAUUUAGCUGUCUUUAUGACACUCUCUACCCCAUGUUUACCAUUUAACGUACGUGUCCGAAAUCGCUUCCCACCGCCCCGGCUUCCCCACCGGAUUCUUCACCAUCUGCUUCUUCAAUAAUUCCAAAUCCCCCUCACUCCAUUCUCUCUCUUCAAAAGAUUUUACCCCAUUUAUCCCCCCUCACUGGGUUUCUUUUCAUUCUCGUUGACAACAAAAGGGGCAGAAUUAAAACUGAAUUCCUCUUUUUUUUUGGGUUUUGAUCGGCGAUUGGAGGCUUUCUUAUUCAGAUCGGCGACGGUGAGGUUUCUUCAUUUUGGGGCGGCAGCGGGGGUUGGAGGAUACGACCGCGGCCGACGCGGAUGUCUCCAGCGGUGAUGGAGGCGGGGGCGAAGGGGCCGAGAAGGAGGGAGAAGGUGAACCAGAAGAAGAUGGAUUUUAGAUAUUUACCAAAUUUUUUUGACUGUUAUAGACCUUUCUCACGCGCUUUUGGCGUCUGACAUACACACACAGUUAAGUUGGAUGAAAAAUGUGACGUUUUCACUUCAGCUCAAAAAGUCGGGAGUUUAAAUGUAGCUUUAUUGACUGCAGGUGGUUAAGUGGGAAAGCGCCCAAAUCCCAGGUGGUUAUCUGAACUUUACCCUAAAUAUAAUUAUUAACCCUUUUUGUUGCAUUAGUAGCCUCAUAGCAUGGCCUGGUUUGGCUUAGCAGCCCUCACCAUCCCACUAAUUAGCAGCCAAAUGCAACACUUUUCAAUUUGUUAAUUAGCCUUAUCUUAUAGAUUGCUAACCCAUUAUAAAUUUUAUAUACAUGUUUAUCUAGGAGGUUUUAAAUCCAACUCUAUGAUUCAAUCCUUAAAUUGCAUUCUAGAGUUAACAUAACACUCCCAAAACUUCAUGUCAUUACAUGAUUUACAACGACUAUUUAGCAAUACAAAGCUGAUACAUUCAUUUAUAACAGAGUAUCAUCAGCUGAGCAAUAUGUAGCAACACCAGUGCACUAACUGAAAGCCCAUAAAGAGCCCCCAACCAUUGCUCUUCAAGCCCAUUGUGGCUCUCUGCUGCUCUCAGUUAUAGCCCUUAGGCAACAGCCUUGUGCCCAACAUGGCUACUUCUCUAAUUUUUUGCUUCUAAUCCAAAUUUUCGUUUCUAACCAUUGUUAGAGAUAUUUCACAUAAUAUAUGGUAGUAUUUUUAGAAAUUGUACAACCUCCAUUUCAGCUUCAAUAGGCUGCCCAAAACAGUGUGUAAAAGUAGCUUAACACACUAAAUUUUAACUUCUUGUUUUGGGGUUGAAAUUGAAUUUCGUUUUAAUCUAACAAGCUUAAACUCUAGUUAUUAUCCUAUGUAAGAUAUCUAUCCAUUCCAAGCUUUAGUUUUGCCUAAUAUUUGAUUUUCAGCUAAAACAGUCUUUUAAGGACUUUGUCAAGCACUUAGAGUGCAUUGAUAUACACCCAUUUUAUCCUCCUAAUGUCUCCGAACAAACAUCAUAUCUCCUUUACGCUAUUUCGGCCUCAUAACAAUCAAAUUAAUACACAGUUAAAUGCAUAAAUAACCAACCAUUUGCAAACUAGUUAGUUUACUUCCUUUUUAAUUCAAUUCCAUUGAUAAACACAUAAAUCUACCAUAUAGCCAUCUCCAUUAUUAAGCAUACUAAUCAUCAAAUGAAGAAUGUCAGCUCCUAGAUAAAAAACAUCUUGUACAAAUAUAACACAUUUGCACAUAGAUAAAAAACUUGCAUUCAAUGUAAAGAUUGAAUGGAGUUAAGAAACUUGCAUUAUGCGUUGUUUACAACUUUAAGUUAAUUCGCCCUUCGAACGUCCUACACAUUUUAAUGUAUGACGACUGUGGACUCAAGUGCAAAAUUAGGGUUCACUUACACGAUUUCAAUGAAUUCUUGAUUUAGUUCAUUACUUUCAUUUCAUUUUCUCUUUUCAUACAUAUUAGCGGUAAUUUCAGUUCACUAAUUUCAUCUUUUUUCUCCAGAUCUUUAAUGAUUCGCAUGAGUCAACCACCAACCACCAACAAAGCACUUCAAAACUAUAUGAAAAGCUAUAAAAGAGUUGGUUUUAGAGUUUUACCUUUGAAGAUCUUUCUCGUUCUUGUUAAUGUAGGGAUUAAUUUUGUUUUUCCGCUUCCUUUUGCAUAUAAUUUUCGAGCUCUCUCUUCCUCUCUCAAAAAUAUGUAGAGUUUCUUCUCUUGAUUUUGUGAAUUGGUAAGGAAUAAAUAAGAAAUUGCCUCCUAUUUAUAGGCUAGCAAGGCUUAGGGUAGAAUGAUCAUUUAGACUAAUUUAACCAUCAUCUAUCCAUGGUUAAAUAGUGGGUGAUGGGAUGGUUCCAUUGGUCCAUAUAUACAAGUUCACUUAGAUUAAGUUAGACCAUAGUUAGCCUAACUUGGUCUUCUUUGCUUAGUUUGGCCACUUUAACCAUUUAGCUAGCCGCAAUAUUUGACUUUGACAUGUGUAUUUCUACCGUAUAUUUUUUGUAUUAUACUCG